AAAACCCGGUACUCAGUCCAGAUUGCAGGCUGCAACUCGCCUGCAUGAAGUUGGAAUUGCUAGUAAUCGCGAAUCAGAAUGUCGCGGUGAAUACGUUCCCGGGCCUUGUACACACCGCCCGUCACACCAUGAGAGUCGAUAACACCCGAAGCCUGUGAGCUAACCGCAAGGGGGCAGCAGUCGAAGGUGGGGUUGAUGAUUGGGGUGAAGUCGUAACAAGGUAUC
This 225-nucleotide ribosomal RNA is filed under the name uncultured bacterium. Its description in RNAcentral is "partial 16S ribosomal RNA". It matches the Rfam family "Bacterial small subunit ribosomal RNA", at positions 1276 to 1500 of the family's 1533-position model. The record is from RNAcentral.